UGAUACAGUGUGAAAAACUCCGGNUGGUAUGAGAUGGACCCGCGUCUGAUUAGCUAGUUGGUGGGGUAACGGCCUACCAAGGCAACGAUCAGUAGCCGACCUGAGAGGGUGACCGGCCACAUUGGGACUGAGACACGGCCCAAACUCCUACGGGAGGCAGCAGUGGGGAAUAUUGCACAAUGGGCGAAAGCCUGAUGCAGCGACGCCGCGUGAACGAUGAAGUAUUUCGGUAUGUAAAGUUCUAUCAGCAGGGAAGAAAAAAUGACGGUACCUGACUAAGAAGCACCGGCUAAAUACGUGCCAGCAGCCGCGGUAAUACGUAUGGUGCAAGCGUUAUCCGGAUUUACUGGGUGUAAAGGGAGCGUAGGCGGUUUUAUAAGUCUGAUGUGAAAGCCCGGGGCUCAACCCCGGGACUGCAUUGGAAACUGUAGAACUAGAGUGUCGGAGGGGUAAG
Molecule: ribosomal RNA, 454 nt
Filed under: uncultured bacterium
Lineage: Bacteria
Description: bacterial SSU rRNA
Rfam family: Bacterial small subunit ribosomal RNA
Source: RNAcentral